GGCAAUGUGCUCUUGAAAAGCUUAUGACAUAACACUUCAUGAAACCUUAUGAGAGGUUCAGGUACCUGAAAAUAAUGAAGUGCUGAGAUCUCAAAAUGUUAUAUCAAAAUGUGAACCGAUAUGAAAUGAUAUAUCAUCAUUAUCUUGGAUAAAAUAUUAUGAAAGAUUACGAGGAUCCGAAUUCUACAUUUAUUUAAGCAUGCUGACGUAGAAACAUUUAUCAAGUGACCUGAAAGGAUGCAUUUUGGUAAGCGUAAAACUUAUUUGAUUUGCAGUCCAGACACUUGGAGAUGUCACACUUGACAUGUUGGAUAUUGUUACUUGACAAUUCAUAUGAAAAUCCCUACAGGAUUCAAAAUGCUUGAAGCAUAUAAAGUUUCUGGAAAACUUGUUUAUUAUCCUUAUAAGGGAUAAAUUGAUGGUUUGAAAAUUAUUAAAAUUCUUGGAGAGUUUUAAAAAACAAUAAGAUUAUUUGUUGAAAUGAGAAACAUACCGAAUUGGAUUGGUCCUGAAGUACCAUAUCUUAGUCCAAUUGGUGUACUAAUGUAUCUUGCAAAUACUACAAGGCAUGAUAUAGCCUUUUGGUUAUUUUGUUAGCAAAGUAUAUUUCUGCUCCUAAUAAGAGACAUCAAAAUGGGAUAAAAGACAUGAGAUUACUUUAUUCUAAAGCUUGCAGUCCCGAUCUUGUUGGCUAUGCUGAUAUUGUGUGCUUAUCUGACCCACAUAAAGCUCGGUCUCAAACAUACUAUGUGUUCAUAUGUGGGGGUACUACCAUAUCUUAGAGAUAUACAAAGCAGUUUAUCUAGUCACUUCAUUGAACCAUGAUGAGAUAAUAGCUAUUCAUCAAGCUAGCCGAGAAUGUGUAUGGUUGAGGUCCAUGAUACAUGUCAUUCAAGAAAAAUAUGGUUUGAAAUGUGACAAUGUACUCACAUUUUAUACAGACAUAAUGUAGCAUGCAUAGCACAUCUUAAUAUGGAGGAUUCAUAAAAGGAGAUAGAACGAAACACACUUCAUUAAGGCUUUUCUAGAUACAUGAGCUUAAAAAAAUGGUGAUAUUAACGUUCAACAGAUUCGUUCAAGUGACAAUGUGGCUGAUUUAUUUACGAAGUCUCCUCCAAUGACAACUUUUAAGAAGAUGGUGCACAAGAUCGGGAUGCAAAGACUCAAGGAUGUUCUCAUUAAGGGGAGUUAAUACGCGUGUCACACCCUUCUUUAACCAAAAAGAAUUGAUUUUAAGGUUCGAAGGAUUUUUUAUGAUUAAAGUGACAAAAUGAUUGAAAAAUUUAUUUCGAAAAAGGAUUAUUUAUAUUCAAAACUUAGAGUCGCCACUUGGCAUAAUCGGGUGUGUCAAGUCACCUUUGGAAAAUCCUUUUCAAAAUGAUUUGACUCUUUAAACUGGUUUGCGAGCAGAGAUUCCGUCUAAGGAAUUCUGUUGACCGAGGGGAAGGUGCUAGGCACCCCUCGAUCCCGUGGUUCGACCACGGUCGCUUGAUGGAGUGUAUCGACUAAUUUUGACACCUAAAAAUGUAUGAACCACAUAAACACACAACACCAGCAAACAAAUAAAUCAAACAAAAUUCAAAAUCGAAAUAAUGUCCAGUCCGAAUUAUACAGUCCCAAAGAUAAGAAAAUACGAAAAUAUAAAUCCUAUUCUAGACUGAUCCUAAACUAUGAUCCAAUGCUUACCCGAUGCCUCGGGACUUCCUCACGAACAUCUUCCGCCAACAUAGUACGUCGGGGCAUUCUCCGGUGAAUAAAUACAAUGUGUCUCGGGGCAUUCCCCGACUAAAUGAAUAUAUUUUUAAAAUUUUGUGUGUUAAAAUAGAAAGAACCAUUCAACAAAUAUUCACACGUUCAACACAAUCACGAUCUUCCAUUUUUCUACAAUUUGCCUACCCAAACUUAGUAUUUGCCUACCCUUUUAACGAUCUAACACAUGAUACUAUCAAUGUCAGUAAUAUCCAACAAUGAAUAAAAACUAAUGAACGUUCAUCUUAUUCGAUUCUCAACUCCAUCCCCCAAAUUUCAUUCUCAAAAUGAUUAAACCAAUUCAAUACGCAAUCCACCAAUCAAGUUUUCAUAUCCAAAUCCAAAAUUAACCAACACACAACGAAAAUUCAAGCAUGUCAAACACACAAAUCACCCGAAAUUACGUAAAAAUUAAAAGGGAGAUUGAAAUGGACCUCAAUUAGGAUUUUAUUCCAAAUAUCAAUCAAUCGAAGGACGAAUCCACGUGCUGAAGAACCUCGAAUUAGCCUUGACAACCCGACUAACUUGAUAUCGCAAAUUACGAUCCGAAUAGAUUUGAAUCGAAGAACACAAACUCAAUAUAUACUGCCUAAUCAACAACUUAACAUAAACCAUAAACCCUCGAAGAUGAAAUUCCGAUCUCGAAGUCCAAGAGCAAAAUAAACCCACAUUGAAACAAAUUGAUGACGGACGACAAACCAACACUAGAUGAACUACAAGAAAACCUCAAAAUGAUAGACACCAGUUUAGUACCGUAUCCCAAUGACUCGAACAAAAUUUGAACAUACCAAAAUCGUAACGAAGAAAGAUGGACUAGUUGAGUUUAGAUCAGAUUUGCGGUUCUCUCGAUGGACAUGAUGUCUUGGUGGUUUAGAGGUAGAGGGGUAGUGUAUGGCGGUUGGUGGGUGUAUCUGGCUUACUGGUGACCCCGAAUUCUGGCGAAGUUUCGCUGGAAAAAUAGAGUGGCGCGAUCGGUUUCUCAUCCCGUUCUUCUCUCAAUCGUCGGGCUCUCUCUUACUCGAACCCUUUGAGCCCUAGAUCUGUCCUCUUUCAGGCCAACUCACUCGAUCUCUAUUUUCUUUUUUUGAUUUUCGUGUGUAUGUGUGUGCAAUCUGUGCGUGAGAGUGUAAUCUUCAAUGGAAUUUUUCUCCCAGCUCAUUGUGUGUAUAGUGUAUGUAUAUGGGUCUUCUCAAAAAAUGAAAAAAAUGGUGAGGGCUCUCUCUGUUCUUUCUAUAAAGAUUAUGAUGAAAAAACAAAAGGGAAAAAUCAGUGAAUUGUCUCCUCCCCUCUAAUCCCUAUGUGCGUGUAUAUAUAUUUUUGUGAGUGAGGUGUGGGACACGCGAGUGAGGUGAGGGGGUAGGGGUAGGGUAGGAAAUAUUGAAAUUUCCUGGGAGAUUUCUCGUGGGACCCCCUGGUAUAUGUGAUGUUGUGUAUAUUCUUUCUUUUUGGACAAGAAAAAGGAGGAGGGUCACAUGAGUGGGGGUAGGGUAGUGGGUGAG
This 3248-nucleotide long non-coding RNA is filed under the name Capsicum annuum. RNAcentral describes it as "long non-coding RNA (CANN_LNC012084)". The record is from RNAcentral. Lineage: Eukaryota; Viridiplantae; Streptophyta; Magnoliopsida; Solanales; Solanaceae.